This is a non-coding RNA of Acanthosepion pharaonis, 112 nucleotides long. Lineage: Eukaryota; Metazoa; Mollusca; Cephalopoda; Sepiida; Sepiidae. The record is from the annotation of a GenBank genome assembly.
CAACCAUAUCCCAUUGAAACACUGGUUCCCGUACGAUCAUCGAAGUUAAGCAACGUCGAACCUGGUCAGUACAUUAGAUGGGUAACCGCUUGAGAAUACCAGGAACUGUAAG